Molecule: unclassified non-coding RNA, 253 nt
Filed under: uncultured Caryophanales bacterium
Lineage: Bacteria; Bacillati; Bacillota; Bacilli; Caryophanales
Description: uncultured Bacillales bacterium contains 16S-23S intergenic spacer region
Rfam family: Bacterial small subunit ribosomal RNA
Source: RNAcentral
UACGUAGGGGGCAAGCGUUGUCAGGAAAUAUUGGGCGUAAAGCGAGCGCAGGCGGUCACUUAAGUAUGAUGUGAAAGCGCACGGCUCAACCGUGGAGGGUCAUUGGAAACUGGGGGACUUGAGUGCAGAAGAGGAAAGUGGAAUUCCACGUGUAGCGGUGAAAUGCGUAGAGAUGUGGAGGAACACCAGUGGCGAAGGCGACUUUCUGGUCUGUAACUGACGCUGAGGCGCGAAAGCGUGGGGAGCAAACAGG